UGCGCUCGUAGCUCAGUUGGACAGAGCAACGGAUUUCUAAUCCGUAGGUCGCAGGUUCGAGUCCUGCCGGGCGUGU
Molecule: transfer RNA, 76 nt
Filed under: subsurface metagenome
Description: tRNA-Arg
Rfam family: tRNA
About the family: Transfer RNA (tRNA) molecules are approximately 80 nucleotides in length.
Source: RNAcentral